AGAGACAGAGUGACUGAGAUGUCUGACUUCAAGCAGUCACUAAAAAAUGUGCUGGCCAGAAGGAAAGGGCAAAAUGUAUGUUCAAGUAGUACUACUG
This is a long non-coding RNA of Alosa sapidissima (American shad), 97 nucleotides long. RefSeq lists it as uncharacterized. The transcript has 3 exons. The record is from RefSeq and is a predicted model, not a curated record. Lineage: Eukaryota; Metazoa; Chordata; Actinopteri; Clupeiformes; Clupeidae.